GAGCACGUAGGUGGGUUUGUAAGUCAGAUGUGAAAGCCUUCUGUUCAAAGGAAGAGCGGCAUCUGAAACUGCAGAUCUUGAGUGUAGGAGGGGAGAGUGGAACUUCUGGUGGAGCGGUGAAAUGCGUAGAUACCAGAAGGAACGUCGGCGGCGAAAGCAACUCUCUGGCCUAUUACUGACACUGAGUGUGCGAAAGUUGGGGGAGCAAACGGGAUUAGAUACCCCGGUAGUCCUAACUGUAAACGAUGGGCACUAAGUAGAGGGGU
RNAcentral lists this ribosomal RNA (266 nucleotides) under uncultured Planctomycetota bacterium. RNAcentral describes it as "uncultured planctomycete partial 16S ribosomal RNA". It matches the Rfam family "Bacterial small subunit ribosomal RNA", at positions 565 to 829 of the family's 1533-position model. Lineage: Bacteria; Pseudomonadati; Planctomycetota. The record is from RNAcentral.